RNAcentral lists this ribosomal RNA (468 nucleotides) under uncultured bacterium. RNAcentral describes it as "partial 16S ribosomal RNA". It matches the Rfam family "Bacterial small subunit ribosomal RNA", at positions 28 to 507 of the family's 1533-position model. The record is from RNAcentral.
GAUGAACGCUGGCGGCGUGCUUAACACAUGCAAGUCGAACGGAAAGGCCCUGCUCUUGCUGGGCUCUCGAUAGGCGAACGGGUGAGUAACACGCGAGUAUCCCGUCCCUGUCUUUGGGAUAUCUUCAGGAAACUGGGGCUAUUAUCGGAUAGGAGCUCUUGCUGCAUGUUGUGGGAUGGAAAGUUUCGGCGGUUGGGGCUGGACUCGCGGCUUACCCGCUUGUUUGGGUGGUAGUGGCUUACCAAGGCUUUGACGGGUAGCCUGCCUGAGAGGGUGACCGGCCACAUUGGGACUGAGAUACGGCCCAGACUCCUACGGGAGGCAGCAGUGGGGAAUAUUGCACAAUGAGCGGAAGCCUGAUGCAGCAGCGCCGCGUGCGGGAUGACGGCCUUCGGGUUGUAAACCGCUUUCGCCGGUGACGAAGCGUGAGUGACGGUAAUGGGUAAAGAAGCACCGGCUAACUACGUG